This 2160-nucleotide ribosomal RNA is filed under the name Lottia scabra. RNAcentral's name for it is "eukaryotic LSU rRNA". It matches the Rfam family "Eukaryotic large subunit ribosomal RNA", at positions 68 to 1872 of the family's 3401-position model. The record is from RNAcentral. Lineage: Eukaryota; Metazoa; Mollusca; Gastropoda; Lottiidae.
UCCGGGAUUCCCUCAGUAGCGGCGAGCGAAGCGGGAAAAGCCCAUCGCCGAAUCCCCCGUCGGACCUCGGCGGUUUGGGAACUGUGGCGUAAGGGUCCGACUCGUCGGGCGUCUGACCGUCCGAACAAGUCCCGCGGGACAGGUGUGCUCCCAGAGUGGGUGUGAGGCCUUUAGUUCGGUCUGGGUCUUCUGCUCGGCGCAGUCGGUACCUGAGAGUCGAGUUGCUUGGGAUCGCAGCUCAAAGUGGGUGGUAAGCUCCAUCUAAGGCUAAAUACUUGCACGAGUCCGAUAGCGAACAAGUACCGUGAGGGAAAGUUGAAAAGAACUUUGAAGAGAGAGUUCAAGAGACCGUGAAAGCGCCUACGGGCAAACGGGUGGAACCGCCGGUGCGAUCAGUGGAAUCCAGCUCGUCGGGCAGGCGGCUCGUGGUGGCGGCGUAGACUUGUCCUUUUCGGAGGACGGGCUCGUCGUUGUCAGAGGGUUCGUCCCCGUCGGCGUAUCUUCCGCUGUGUCGCGAGUCGCGACCGGCUCGAAGUGCUUCGUUUCGGUUGGUGUCAGGCGAGGAGCGCGCUCACGCGUUGCAUCUGUCUCCGGACUGCCUGCGCUGGCCGGUAUCACAGCGAACGUAGCUUCGGGCCGAGGAACGGCCCCGUUCUCGCUCCCGACUCAGUCUCCCGGCGACGUCGCGGCUGUCUUGACUGCCUCUCUGAGGCUUAACAGUGCAAGUGCGGUCGCUCGGUCGGCGUCGGCGAGGCGGCGGGCAUUGGAGGACGGUUUAGAGGGUCCGCGGCUGGCCGUGGCGGCACUCUUCCCGACCCGUCUUGAAACACGGACCAAGGAGUCUAACGUGAGCGCGAGUCACAGGGAAAAACACUCCCUUGGGGCGCAGCGAAAGCGAUGUGGUCCGAUCCUCUCUCGGGUGAGGGGGGCGCAGGACCGGCCCGUCGGGGGUUGUUACGGCCUCGGCGGAGCAAGAGCGCUCGCGUUGGGACCCGAAAGAUGGUGAACUAGGCCCGAGCGGGACGAAGCCGGGAGAAAUGCUGGUGGAGGUCCUAAGUGGUUCUGACGCGCAAAUCGAUCACGGAACUUGGGCGUAGGGGCGAAAGACUAAUCGAACCAUCUAGUAGCUGGUUCCCUCCGAAGUUUCCCCCAGGAUAGCUGGCGCUCGCCGAGACAGUUUCGUCCGGUAAAGCGAAUGAUUAGAGGAGUCCGUGCCGAAAUGGCGUGGAGCUAUUGUCAAACUUUGAACGGGCGAGAAGGGGUGCCUACCGCUCGAUCUGGGAGGCUCGGCCCCCGUCGAAAUGUACGAGUGCCAAGUGGGCCACUUUUGGUAAGCAGAACUGGCGCUGUGGGAUGAACCAAACGCCGGGUUAAGGCGCCCGAUUGUCACGCUCAGCAGAACCCACAAAAGGCGUCCAUCGGUAAAGACAGCAGGACGAUGACCAUGGAAGUUGGUAUCCGCCAAGGAGUGUGUAACAACUCACCUGCCGAAUUGGUGGGCCCUGAAAAUGGAUGGCGCUGAAGCGUGCAGCCUACACCCGGCCGUCUCGGCAGAUUUUCUCCGGCCUGUCGGUAGAGACUGACCGAAGCCGAGACGAGUAGGAGGGUCGCCGCGGUCAGCGCUGAAGCCUUAGACGCGAGUCUGGGUGUAGCGGCCGCGGAUGCCSAUCUUGGUGGUAGUAGCAAAUAUUCGAGCGAGAACCUCGAAGGCCGAAGUGGAGAAGGGUUCCGCGUUCUCCUUCCGAUCGGCCGCGGGUUAGUCGGUCCUAAGGCCUGGGAGAAAUCCUACGGGAAGCGGGACGUUUCUUACUAUUUAGAAAUUAGUCUCACCAAAUGCACGGGCCGAAAGGGAAACGGGUUAGUAUUCCCGUACCCGAAGGCGGAGCACAAGCGGCGACGCAAGGAAGGUCGGAUACACCGUGGGGAGAGUCGAGAAGAGUUAACUUUUCUUUUUGAUGUGCGCUCGCUGACCAUGGAAGCGGUUAUGCCGGAGAUAGGGAGCGAGAGCAAAAUUACCUUUAUCCGCAAAGCCGGCUCCAUCGGGGGCCUGUUCGGCUACGACUCGACGGUCCUUGAAACUCCGACGGCUAAACCAUGAUAAAAGAAAUUAUGCUCGCAUCUCGCCUCGGGCCGUUCCGUAAUCCGCCGCAGGUGUCAAAG